UUUAUUUAAAAAAAAAAAAAGGCAAUAAAAUAUAGGCACAAAUUCUUCCUCUCAAAGUUAAAGGUUAAAACACAAAAUCAGGAACCAUUAAUCAUCUAUUUCAUUGAUUAUUUAUUUGAGAUCAAGCAUCUUUGUCGUACAUAUUUUUCUAAACUUCCACCAA
Molecule: non-coding RNA, 163 nt
Organism: Arachis ipaensis
Lineage: Eukaryota; Viridiplantae; Streptophyta; Magnoliopsida; Fabales; Fabaceae
Source: RefSeq, a predicted model, not a curated record